UCUGGGGUCCAUAGCGGAGGGGUAACACCCGAUCCCAUUCCGAACUCGGAAGUUAAGACCUCCAGCGCCAAUGAUACUGCCCUAUUUAAAGGGUGGGAAAGUAGGUCGAUCCCAGAA
RNAcentral lists this ribosomal RNA (117 nucleotides) under Desulfonauticus submarinus. Lineage: Bacteria; Pseudomonadati; Thermodesulfobacteriota; Desulfovibrionia; Desulfovibrionales; Desulfonauticaceae. The record is from RNAcentral.